This 81-nucleotide non-coding RNA is filed under the name unclassified sequences. Its description in RNAcentral is "CyVA-1 RNA". It matches the Rfam family "CyVA-1 RNA". From Rfam's summary of the family: Cyanobacteria, Acidobacteria (1 example), Verrucomicrobia (1 example). Big IGRs The record is from Rfam by way of RNAcentral.
GCACUGGAUGGAAGGUUGUUCCGCUGUGAUCCAAUUGUCGGACAUCGAAGGAGAGCGACGCUCAGAUGUCUGGUACAGUGC